Molecule: transfer RNA, 79 nt
Filed under: Sphingobium indicum UT26S
Lineage: Bacteria; Pseudomonadati; Pseudomonadota; Alphaproteobacteria; Sphingomonadales; Sphingobiaceae
Description: Sphingobium japonicum UT26S tRNA-Ile (GAT)
Rfam family: tRNA
About the family: Transfer RNA (tRNA) molecules are approximately 80 nucleotides in length. Their secondary structure includes four short double-helical elements and three loops (D, anti-codon, and T loops). Further hydrogen bonds mediate the characteristic L-shaped molecular structure. tRNAs have two regions of fundamental functional importance: the anti-codon, which is responsible for specific mRNA codon recognition, and the 3' end, to which the tRNAs corresponding amino acid is attached (by aminoacyl-tRNA synthetases). tRNAs cope with the degeneracy of the genetic code in two manners: having more than one tRNA (with a specific anti-codon) for a particular amino acid; and 'wobble' base-pairing, i.e. permitting non-standard base-pairing at the 3rd anti-codon position.
Source: RNAcentral
UGGGCCGGUAGCUCAGGUGGUUAGAGCGCACGCCUGAUAAGCGUGAGGUCGGAGGUUCAACUCCUCCCCGGCCCACCAG